CUCCUACGGGAGGCAGCAGUGGGGAAUUUUGGACAAUGGGCGCAAGCCUGAUGCAGCAACGCCGCGUGGAGGAUGACACAUUUCGGUGCGUAAACUCCUUUUAUAUGAGAAGAUAAUGACGGUAUUAUAUGAAUAAGCACCGGCUAACUCCGUGCCAGCAGCCGCGGUAAUACGGGGGGUGCAAGCGUUACUCGGAAUCACUGGGCGUAAAGAGCAUGUAGGCGGAUUAAUAAGUUUGAAGUGAAAUCCUAUAGCUUAACUAUAGAACUGCUUUGAAAACUGUUAAUCUAGAAUGUGGGAGAGGUAGAUGGAAUUUCUGGUGUAGGGGUAAAAUCCGUAGAGAUCAGAAGGAAUACCGAUUGCGAAGGCGAUCUACUGGAACAUUAUUGACGCUGAGAUGCG
This 402-nucleotide ribosomal RNA is filed under the name uncultured bacterium. Its description in RNAcentral is "bacterial SSU rRNA". It matches the Rfam family "Bacterial small subunit ribosomal RNA", at positions 336 to 755 of the family's 1533-position model. The record is from RNAcentral.